RNAcentral lists this ribosomal RNA (439 nucleotides) under uncultured bacterium. RNAcentral's name for it is "partial 16S ribosomal RNA". It matches the Rfam family "Bacterial small subunit ribosomal RNA", at positions 338 to 795 of the family's 1533-position model. The record is from RNAcentral.
CCUACGGGAGGCAGCAGUGGGGAAUAUUGCACAAUGGGGGAAACCCUGAUGCAGCGACGCCGCGUGAGUGAAGAAGUAAUUCGUUAUGUAAAGCUCUAUCAGCAGGGAAGAAAAUGACGGUACCUGAGUAAGAAGCCACGGCGAACGACGUGCCAGCAGCCGCGGUAAUACGUAGGGGCAAGCGUUAUCCGGAUUUACUGGGUGGAAAGGGAGCGGAGACGGCAGUGCACGUCUGGAGUGAAAGGCGGGGGCUCAACCCCCGGACUGCUCUGGAAACUGUACGGCUGGAGUGCAGGAGAGGUCAGUGGACUUCCUAGUGUAGCGGUGAAAUGCGUAGAUAUUAGGAGGAACACCAGUGGCGCAGGCGGCUUACUGGACUGUACCUGCCGUUGAGGCUCGAACGCGUGGGGAGCAAACAGGAUUAGCUACCCGAGUAGUC